AAGGGUAUAGCUCAGUGGUGGAGUGCAUGCUUAGCAUGCGUGAGGUACUGGGUUCGAUCCCCAGGACCUCUA
RNAcentral lists this transfer RNA (72 nucleotides) under Camelus bactrianus (Bactrian camel). It matches the Rfam family "tRNA". From Rfam's summary of the family: Transfer RNA (tRNA) molecules are approximately 80 nucleotides in length. Their secondary structure includes four short double-helical elements and three loops (D, anti-codon, and T loops). Lineage: Eukaryota; Metazoa; Chordata; Mammalia; Artiodactyla; Camelidae. The record is from Rfam by way of RNAcentral. RNAcentral also lists the same sequence under 1 other name.